Molecule: ribosomal RNA, 214 nt
Filed under: Campeiostachys nutans
Lineage: Eukaryota; Viridiplantae; Streptophyta; Magnoliopsida; Poales; Poaceae
Description: Elymus nutans partial small subunit ribosomal RNA
Rfam family: Eukaryotic small subunit ribosomal RNA (bases 36-214)
Source: RNAcentral
GGACCAUCAUGUCGGUCGUGCCUCGGUACGUACUAAUUUAUUGGUUUCUUCCUUCUGACGAACCAUGAUGUCAUUAAUUUGGUAUCUUGGGGAAUCAGGACUGUUACUUUGAAAAAAUUAGAGUGUUUAAAGCAGGCUCACGCUUGAAUACAUUAGCAUGGAAUAAUGAAAUAGGACGUUUGAUUCUAUUUUAUUGGUUUCUAGGAUCGCCGUA